RNAcentral lists this ribosomal RNA (486 nucleotides) under uncultured bacterium. RNAcentral's name for it is "partial 16S ribosomal RNA". It matches the Rfam family "Bacterial small subunit ribosomal RNA", at positions 30 to 507 of the family's 1533-position model. The record is from RNAcentral.
AUUGAACGCUGGCGGCAUGCCUUACACAUGCAAGUCGAACGGCAGCACGGGUGCUUGCCCCUGGUGGCGAGUGGCGAACGGGUGAGUAAUACAUCGGAACAUGUCCUGUAGUGGGGGAUAGCCCGGCGAAAGCCGGAUUAAUACCGCAUACGAUCUACGGAUGAAAGCGGGGGACCUUCGGGCCUCGCGCUAUCGGGUUGGCCGAUGGCUGAUUAGCUAGUUGGUGGGGUAAAGGCCUACCAAGGCGACGAUCAGUAGCUGGUCUGAGAGGACGACCAGCCACACUGGGACUGAGACACGGCCCAGACUCCUACGGGAGGCAGCAGUGGGGAAUUUUGGACAAUGGGCGAAAGCCUGAUCCAGCAAUGCCGCGUGUGUGAAGAAGGCCUUCGGGUUGUAAAGCACUUUUGUCCGGAAAGAAAACCUUGGCCCUAAUACGGUCGGGGGAUGACGGUACCGGAAGAAUAAGCACCGGCUAACUACGUG